RNAcentral lists this long non-coding RNA (1235 nucleotides) under Cottoperca gobio. RNAcentral's name for it is "lncRNA (ENSCGOG00000003428.1)". The record is from RNAcentral. Lineage: Eukaryota; Metazoa; Chordata; Actinopteri; Perciformes; Bovichtidae.
GUGAAAAGCAACACAAAAAAUGUUUAUUACCAAAUGUACUGUAGCACUUAAUUUCAUAUAAAAUUCCACAUGAGUUCAAUAUUAAGUUUCCCUUUAUUUGCAAAAUGUUUAACCCAUGUACAGUUAAACAUAAUACUAUUUAAGACACUGUGGGCGUGCUGUUGACAUACUGUAUGCAGAAGUGCCUGAAGCCUUAUUCUCAUUCAUAUGAAUGAUGAUUAUCUGCUUUGAACAGAUUCAUUUCAAGUAGGUCUUUUUCAUCUCUUGACCACAAGAAGUCACACACAAAAUAAUCUCGGUCAAACACACUGAAUCCAAUCUAAAAAUCCUUUACCAUGACUUGUUAGGACAAUAUCUGCAAUAUCUGCAAAUAAUAAUGAUAAUAUAAUAAUUUAAUAUUUUAAAUGUCAAAUUAUCUGACCAAAAGAUACAAUUAUAUAACACAUGGGAAAGCAGCACAGUUUCACCUUUAAUGAGCUGGAACUGGAGAAUGUUUGGACUUUCUUCUUUAAAAUGUUUUUGCUCAUAAAAUUGAAAAUACAUUUUCAGUUUAUUAAUCUAGUUAAGACCAAAUCUGGCUCUUUGCAUUGCAACGUAAAGUGACAGUCCUGUUUUCUUAACAAAAUACACUGUAUUCUGUGACUCCGAGUUGAUCUCAAUUUGUGUAAAUGUUGGAAUUUGUGUCUUGAGUUUCUGGUAGCCCAGCCUGAGGAGAAGCUGUGAGGACGAAGUGAUGAAGCAACCAGCAGGCGGGCACAAUCAGUGAGAGCUGAUCAGUUUCAUUUCUCAAGAGAAGAUGCCUAACCCUUGUGCCUGUAUGAAACCAGCCCGACGCAAGGCUCAUCAGUACACUACCUCUACAGACAAGAGAUGUGGUGGCUCUUGAAUGCUGCGUUGAUUGUAGGAGAAGCAGUCGUUGCAGUCAGUGCCGUUGCAGCAGCUCCUUUAGUUCUGGGUGCUGUAUGUUUCACCUCAGCUGGAAUAGAUGCAGGCUCCUGGGCUCCCUACAUGAUGGCUGCUGCUGCUGUGAUGCCAAUAGGUGGAGCAGUGUUGGGAUGGCUGACUCUAAUCCUCAUCUGAGAAAUCAAUGAAGGAACAAUGUUUUUACUUUUGCCAAAUGAAGGAGGCGACUGCAAUCUGUUCCCUUAUUAAACGGCACUUUUUUUCAUCUCAGACAACUGAAAUGUUGUGUUCAAUAAACCUCCUAUAAAAAGGAUGCUUGGUCAGUGUGUUGU